This 1352-nucleotide ribosomal RNA is filed under the name Lacticaseibacillus rhamnosus. RNAcentral describes it as "bacterial SSU rRNA". It matches the Rfam family "Bacterial small subunit ribosomal RNA", at positions 91 to 1430 of the family's 1533-position model. The record is from RNAcentral. Lineage: Bacteria; Bacillati; Bacillota; Bacilli; Lactobacillales; Lactobacillaceae.
ACGAGUGGCGGACGGGUGAGUAACACGUGGGUAACCUGCCCUUAAGUGGGGGAUAACAUUUGGAAACAGAUGCUAAUACCGCAUAAAUCCAAGAACCGCAUGGUUCUUGGCUGAAAGAUGGCGUAAGCUAUCGCUUUUGGAUGGACCCGCGGCGUAUUAGCUAGUUGGUGAGGUAACGGCUCACCAAGGCAAUGAUACGUAGCCGAACUGAGAGGUUGAUCGGCCACAUUGGGACUGAGACACGGCCCAAACUCCUACGGGAGGCAGCAGUAGGGAAUCUUCCACAAUGGACGCAAGUCUGAUGGAGCAACGCCGCGUGAGUGAAGAAGGCUUUCGGGUCGUAAAACUCUGUUGUUGGAGAAGAAUGGUCGGCAGAGUAACUGUUGUCGGCGUGACGGUAUCCAACCAGAAAGCCACGGCUAACUACGUGCCAGCAGCCGCGGUAAUACGUAGGUGGCAAGCGUUAUCCGGAUUUAUUGGGCGUAAAGCGAGCGCAGGCGGUUUUUUAAGUCUGAUGUGAAAGCCCUCGGCUUAACCGAGGAAGUGCAUCGGAAACUGGGAAACUUGAGUGCAGAAGAGGACAGUGGAACUCCAUGUGUAGCGGUGAAAUGCGUAGAUAUAUGGAAGAACACCAGUGGCGAAGGCGGCUGUCUGGUCUGUAACUGACGCUGAGGCUCGAAAGCAUGGGUAGCGAACAGGAUUAGAUACCCUGGUAGUCCAUGCCGUAAACGAUGAAUGCUAGGUGUUGGAGGGUUUCCGCCCUUCAGUGCCGCAGCUAACGCAUUAAGCAUUCCGCCUGGGGAGUACGACCGCAAGGUUGAAACUCAAAGGAAUUGACGGGGGCCCGCACAAGCGGUGGAGCAUGUGGUUUAAUUCGAAGCAACGCGAAGAACCUUACCAGGUCUUGACAUCUUUUGAUCACCUGAGAGAUCAGGUUUCCCCUUCGGGGGCAAAAUGACAGGUGGUGCAUGGUUGUCGUCAGCUCGUGUCGUGAGAUGUUGGGUUAAGUCCCGCAACGAGCGCAACCCUUAUGACUAGUUGCCAGCAUUUAGUUGGGCACUCUAGUAAGACUGCCGGUGACAAACCGGAGGAAGGUGGGGAUGACGUCAAAUCAUCAUGCCCCUUAUGACCUGGGCUACACACGUGCUACAAUGGAUGGUACAACGAGUUGCGAGACCGCGAGGUCAAGCUAAUCUCUUAAAGCCAUUCUCAGUUCGGACUGUAGGCUGCAACUCGCCUACACGAAGUCGGAAUCGCUAGUAAUCGCGGAUCAGCACGCCGCGGUGAAUACGUUCCCGGGCCUUGUACACACCGCCCGUCACACCAUGAGAGUUUGUAACACCCGAAGCCGG